GGGGGCGUAGUUCAGUUGGUUAGAACGCCCGCCUGUCACGCAGGAGGGCGCGGUUCGAGUCCGUCGGUCGCUCCCGCCA
This 79-nucleotide transfer RNA is filed under the name Acidobacteriota bacterium. Its description in RNAcentral is "Acidobacteria bacterium tRNA-Asp". It matches the Rfam family "tRNA". From Rfam's summary of the family: Transfer RNA (tRNA) molecules are approximately 80 nucleotides in length. The record is from RNAcentral. RNAcentral also lists the same sequence under 1 other name. Lineage: Bacteria; Pseudomonadati; Acidobacteriota.